GAGACUUUAGUUCCGGAUAGAAUAGCAUUUAUUUUGUAAAUGAGUUAAGACCUCCUUUUCAGUCAGCUUUUUACAUUAAAGCUAAUACUUAUUGUGCCUUUGUUUUGCAAAUUAUGUUAACAUUUUUAAAGUGUUUCUGACUUCUUUGAGCUUGAAUUGAGUGUUGUUUACAGCAAAUUGUAGGUAUUAGGGAUCGUACGGUCAGUACAGUACACUCGUUCGAGGCCGGCUAACAACAUGUCACGUUUAAUCGUUUAUUUGUUUUGCAUUGCAUUUAUGAUUAUUAACAUAGACGGCAAGAUCGCCUCACGAAAUUCCGAUGAUGUAAAAGGCAUAGAAUUUGAAAACGAAUUUCUUAUGUUGGAUAACAACAUUUUAGUUCUUGAUUCAGAUGUGGCCGAGAAAAAAUGCGCUGAAGUCGGAGAAUACUGUGACAGAAACAGUGACUGCUGCAGUAACCUGUGUCUAGGAUUUAUGAAAAGGUGCGUCUCAGGCUCGAAGAAUAAAUGUUUGAUGUUCAUAAAUAAAUUAAAGGAUAAUAAAUUUAAUUAAUUGCGUAUAUAUAUAUAUAAAUGUAAGUAAGUACUUAAUAAAAUAU
Molecule: long non-coding RNA, 598 nt
Organism: Aricia agestis (brown argus)
Lineage: Eukaryota; Metazoa; Arthropoda; Insecta; Lepidoptera; Lycaenidae
Exons: 3
Source: RefSeq, a predicted model, not a curated record